Molecule: ribosomal RNA, 254 nt
Filed under: uncultured bacterium
Lineage: Bacteria
Description: partial 16S ribosomal RNA
Rfam family: Bacterial small subunit ribosomal RNA
Source: RNAcentral
UACGUAGGGAGCGAGCGUUGUCCGGAUUCAUUGGGCGUAAAGAGCUCGUAGGCGGCUUGAUAAGUCGGAUGUGAAACCUCCAGGCUCAACCUGGAGUCGCCAUCCGAUACUGUCAUGGCUAGAGUCCGGUAGGGGCCCACGGAAUCCUGGUGUAGCGGUGAAAUGCGCAGAUAUCAGGAGGAACACCGGUGGCGAAGGCGGUGGGCUGGGCCGGCACUGACGCUGGAGGAGCGAAAGCGUGGGGAGCGAACAGG